Molecule: ribosomal RNA, 460 nt
Filed under: uncultured bacterium
Lineage: Bacteria
Description: bacterial SSU rRNA
Rfam family: Bacterial small subunit ribosomal RNA
Source: RNAcentral
UCAGCAUCGGCUAACUCCGUGCCAGCAGCCGCGGUAAUACGGAGGAUGCAAGCGUUAUCCGGAUUUAUCGGGCGUAAAGCGUCCGCAGGUGGUUUUUCAAGUCUGCUGUUAAAGCGCAGAGCUUAACUCUGUAACGGCGGUGGAAACUGAGAGACUAGAGUAUGGUAGGGGUUGCGGGAAUUCCCAGUGUAGCGGUGAAAUGCGUAGAUAUUGGGAAGAACACCAGCGGCGAAAGCGCGCAACUGGGCCAUUACUGACACUCAUGGACGAAAGCUAGGGGAGCGAAAGGGAUUAGAUACCCCUGUAGUCCUAGCUGUAAACGAUGGGUACUAGGUGUUGACCGUAUCGACCCGGUCAGUGCCGUAGCUAACGCGUUAAGUACCCCGCCUGGGGGAGUAUGCACGCAAGUGUGAAACUCAAAGGAAUUGACGGGGGCCCGCACAAGCGGUGGAGUAUGUGG